CGGGAAUCUUCCACAAUGGACGGAAGUCUGAUGGAGCAACGCCGCGUGAGCGAAGAAGGUCUUCGGAUCGUAAAGCUCUGUUGUAAGGGAAGAAUAAGUACAGUAGUAACUGGCUGUACCUUGACGGUACCUUACGAGAAAGCCACGGCUAACUACGUGCCAGCAGCCGCGGUAAUACGUAGGUGGCAAGCGUUGUCCGGAAUUAUUGGGCGUAAAGCGCGCGCAGGCGGCCUUUUAAGUCUGAUGUGAAAGCCCCCGGCUUAACCGGGGAGGGUCAUUGGAAACUGGGAGGCUUGAGUGCAGAAGAGGAAAGUGGAAUUCCAAGUGUAGCGGUGAAAUGCGUAGAGAUUUGGAGGAACACCAGUGGCGAAGGCGACUUUCUGGUCUGUUACUGACGCUGAGGCGCGAAAGCGUGGGGAGCAAAC
This 425-nucleotide ribosomal RNA is filed under the name uncultured bacterium. Its description in RNAcentral is "bacterial SSU rRNA". It matches the Rfam family "Bacterial small subunit ribosomal RNA", at positions 356 to 773 of the family's 1533-position model. The record is from RNAcentral.